GACGAACGCUGGCGGCGUGCUUAACACAUGCAAGUCGAACGGUAAGGCCCUUCGGGGUACACGAGUGGCGAACGGGUGAGUAACACGUGGGUGAUCUGCCCUGCACUUCGGGAUAAGCCUGGGAAACUGGGUCUAAUACCGGAUAGGACCACUGCCUGCAUGGGUGGUGGUGGAAAGCUUUUGCGGUGGGGGAUGGGCCCGCGGCCUAUCAGCUGGUUGGUGGGGUGAUGGCCUACCAAGGCGACGACGGGUAGCCGGCCUGAGAGGGUGACCGGCCACACUGGGAAUGAGAGACGGCCCAGACUCCUACGGGAGGCAGCAGUGGGGAAUAUUGCACAAUGGGCGCAAGCCUGAUGCAGCGACGCCGCGUGAGGGAUGACGGCCUUCGGGUUGUAAACCUCUUUCAGCACCGACGAAGCGCAAGUGACGGUAGGUGCAGAAGAAGGACCGGCCAACUACGUGCCAGCCGCCGCCGUAA
This 478-nucleotide ribosomal RNA is filed under the name uncultured bacterium. RNAcentral's name for it is "partial 16S ribosomal RNA". It matches the Rfam family "Bacterial small subunit ribosomal RNA", at positions 28 to 523 of the family's 1533-position model. The record is from RNAcentral.